GAGACCCACGCCAACAGUUGCCAGCUCGUCCUCCGGGAUGGAGGGGACACUGUUGGGACCGCCUCUGCUAAAGAGGAGGAAGGAAUGGGCAACGGUAGGUCAGCAUGCCCCGAAUUAUCCGGGCUACACGCGGGCUACAAUGGGUGGGACAAUGGGUAUCGACACCGAAAGGUGAAGGCAAUCUCCUAAACCCAUCCCUAGUUCGGAUUGUGGGCUGCAACUCGCCCACAUGAAGCUGGAAUCCGUAGUAAUCGUGUCUCAAAAUGGCGCGGUGAAUAU
Molecule: ribosomal RNA, 279 nt
Filed under: uncultured archaeon
Lineage: Archaea
Description: partial 16S rRNA
Rfam family: Archaeal small subunit ribosomal RNA
Source: RNAcentral